Molecule: transfer RNA, 94 nt
Filed under: Actinomycetes bacterium
Lineage: Bacteria; Bacillati; Actinomycetota; Actinomycetes
Description: Actinobacteria bacterium tRNA-Ser
Rfam family: tRNA
About the family: Transfer RNA (tRNA) molecules are approximately 80 nucleotides in length.
Source: RNAcentral
GGAGAGGUGUCCGAGUGGCUUAAGGAGCGCGACUGGAAAUCGCGUGGGCGGGCUCGUACCUGCCUCGAGGGUUCGAAUCCCUCCCUCUCCGCUA